UGGCUCAUGUGUUAAAAUGUGUUGUCCGUACCAAUCUGAGCUUCACAGAGGAAACUAUCAGGGAUCUAGUCUUUGCACUUUCCCAGACACUCAACUCAUUAGUUGAACAAUACUCCACAAUGAAUUUCAGCACUGUGGAGUCCAACAUCAUGGAUGUUGUUCAACAGCUCCAAACAGACGGUUUCACAGAUGAGAACCUUCAUGAUGUGGAAUUCAUCAGACUCUGGUUUCAGACCAAACUCAAGCCACUCCUACCAACAGUAUCGAAAGAAUUCCUCUCCUGUCUCAGCACAAAGGACUUCAGCUGUGAGACCUACCAAAUCCUAGUAAAGGAGAUGAGUGAUCACAUCACUUUAAUGGAUGAAACAAGACAGCGUUUGGUUUACACUGAAUUUAUUCACCUAUUCUUGUUAAAACAUCAUAAUUCAGAUUCAGCAUGCAUUUCCAGCACAAACAACAGUGUAGACUGGCUCAUCUGGAAUUUUGGAAAAUUUUCCAUUUUUGCACUCCUUCAGGAUUUU
Molecule: long non-coding RNA, 521 nt
Organism: Megalops cyprinoides (Indo-Pacific tarpon)
Lineage: Eukaryota; Metazoa; Chordata; Actinopteri; Elopiformes; Megalopidae
Exons: 4
Source: RefSeq, a predicted model, not a curated record